GUUAAGCUUGAUUUAAAUUUGCAUACAUUUUCAUACAUUUAGGAGAAAUAAAAGAAGGCUGCAGCCACCAGAAAGUCAUUAAAGAGCGCUGAGCCGAGCCACAAGCUGGUUGUGGAGACAGAGACGGAGAGGAGGCCGGAGCAGGUGAGCUGACCGCGGGGCUGGGAGUGUGGACAGGGCCGCUGGAGGGUGGACGGGGCCUCGGUAACCGGAGGAAUGACAGACAGCGGCAGAGAGGGGAAGGGGGUGCUGUUUGCAGAAGAGGCUUGUAUAUUGUCCCUGGGUCAAUGAAGGAGCCAUAGCGGGUAAAAAAAAAAAAAAAAUCUACAUAACAUUACCAUCUGUUAAACUUCAAACACAGACACACACAGGAACAGGGAGCAUCCUAAACAGAGAGCAGUGGAGGAGAGUAGAGAGUCUAUAGAAAUGCAAUGUAUGCUCUUCAGCCCCUCUCCAACGCCUCUUCCACAUCCUCCUCCUUCUUCUCCUCUUCUGUGCUGACAGCAGAGAAGAGCUCAGGGUUGAGGCCUCGGAUGGCACCAACGAGCAAGAGAGGUAAAAAAAGAGAAAGAAAACAGGACUCCAGAGCAGAAAUAAAGAGAGACGGGGUUUGUAAGAAAAAUUGUCUCUGCUGAAAAAUGUUCUUUUCUUCAAAUCCUCACACAAAAGUCAAAUGCAGUGGAUGUUUAAUGAAUGGCCCCAGUGAAUUUGGUGUAGAAUAUGAGCAAGCAGCUCUCCGCCACAGCUAAACAACCAGCCAACAUACUUUCCCCCGUGGCCCACAAACCCACACACACACACACACACACACACACACACACACACACACACACACACACACACACAGACACACACACACACACACAGGUCCCUCUGAAGGAGCAGGCGGAGCCGGCAGUUGCACAUCUGCAUUUCAAACACAGACUCUCUGGGAUUCAUUAUUAAUUAGCCUGCUGAGCCCUGGAGGACUGGUGAUGCUGCCGUCUCACACACACACACACACACACACACACACACACACACACACACUCAAAGACACACAUACACUCACACACACACACGCACACACACACACACCUCGUGACCCCUUUGCCCCCUCUACAGUUAGAAAGUCCUCACCAGAAUACUGAGCCGUACAGAAACGUUGCUUUCCAUCCUCCAACCACUUGCACCUUCCCCAAUUUCCCGGCCUAAUGUAUAGUAAGGAUGAUGAAUUACAGGAGUAGAUGGUUUUAUUAAGCUGAACGCACUGUGACUGUGUUUAAAAUACCAUGUUCAAUUGAGUUGUUUAGCACAGCAGAGUCCUAAAUGACAGAGGCCAGAGGAUGACAGAAACCUGAGUUGCUGUACUUUGCGUCGCCUCAAUAAACACUACAACCCUC
Amphiprion ocellaris (clown anemonefish) is the source of this 1382-nucleotide long non-coding RNA. NCBI's taxonomy places the organism in Eukaryota, Metazoa, Chordata, Actinopteri, Pomacentridae. The record is from Ensembl.